Molecule: non-coding RNA, 63 nt
Filed under: Blumeria hordei DH14
Lineage: Eukaryota; Fungi; Ascomycota; Leotiomycetes; Helotiales; Erysiphaceae
Description: Blumeria graminis f. sp. hordei DH14 Eukaryotic large subunit ribosomal RNA
Rfam family: Eukaryotic large subunit ribosomal RNA
Source: Rfam by way of RNAcentral
UGACCUCGAAUCAGGUAGGGAUACCCGCUGAACUUAAGCAUAUCAAUAAGCGGAGGAAAAAAA